AUCUAGCCGACGAGUCCCAAAUGAAAUGAAACGCGUUUCCUGGAU
This 45-nucleotide non-coding RNA is filed under the name Schistosoma margrebowiei. Lineage: Eukaryota; Metazoa; Platyhelminthes; Trematoda; Strigeidida; Schistosomatidae. The record is from RNAcentral.